GCCCUGGUGGUCUAGUGGUUAAGACUGGGCUCUCUGACUGCCGUGGCCUGGGUUCAUUUCCCAGUCAUGGAG
RNAcentral lists this transfer RNA (72 nucleotides) under Equus caballus (horse). It matches the Rfam family "tRNA". From Rfam's summary of the family: Transfer RNA (tRNA) molecules are approximately 80 nucleotides in length. The record is from Rfam by way of RNAcentral. Lineage: Eukaryota; Metazoa; Chordata; Mammalia; Perissodactyla; Equidae.